RNAcentral lists this non-coding RNA (115 nucleotides) under Sinorhizobium medicae. RNAcentral's name for it is "TPP". It matches the Rfam family "TPP riboswitch aptamer (THI element)". From Rfam's summary of the family: Vitamin B(1) in its active form thiamin pyrophosphate (TPP) is an essential coenzyme that is synthesised by coupling of pyrimidine and thiazole moieties in bacteria. Lineage: Bacteria; Pseudomonadati; Pseudomonadota; Alphaproteobacteria; Hyphomicrobiales; Rhizobiaceae. The record is from RNAcentral.
GCUGCUCUAACGGGGUGCCUUCGGUUUGAAUUCGAACCAGGGCUGAGAGGCUUCGAGCCAACCCGCGGAACCUGAUCCGGCUCAUACCGGCGGAGGGAUUAGAAGCGAUCGGACC